Molecule: small nuclear RNA, 103 nt
Organism: Grammomys surdaster
Lineage: Eukaryota; Metazoa; Chordata; Mammalia; Rodentia; Muridae
Source: RefSeq, a predicted model, not a curated record
UUGCUUUGGAAGUACAUACCCUAAAAUCAGAAUACCACAGAGAAGAUUAGCAUGGCCCCUUUGCAAGGAAUAUAUGCAAAUUCAUGGAGUAUUUAAAAUAAAA